AACUUGCGGAAGGAUCAUUA
Molecule: ribosomal RNA, 20 nt
Filed under: Pisolithus tinctorius
Lineage: Eukaryota; Fungi; Basidiomycota; Agaricomycetes; Boletales; Pisolithaceae
Description: partial 18S ribosomal RNA
Source: RNAcentral